Peromyscus eremicus (cactus mouse) is the source of this 2517-nucleotide long non-coding RNA. RefSeq lists it as uncharacterized. Lineage: Eukaryota; Metazoa; Chordata; Mammalia; Rodentia; Cricetidae. The record is from RefSeq and is a predicted model, not a curated record. The transcript has 4 exons.
CUCAGCCUUCUUCCACCCAGCAUUCUCCUCUCUCCUUAUCCCGCCUACACUAUUCUUCCUGCCUGGCUACUGGCCAAUCAGCAUUUUAUUUAUCAAUCAAUCAUAGAAACAUAUAUUUACAGCAUACAGGACAUCCCACAGCAGUGGGGAGUGAUUAAAGAAGACACCCAGAGCCAGGUGGUGGUGGUGCAGAAGCAGGAGGAUCUUUGUGAGUUCGAGGCCAGCCUGGUCUACAGAGGGAGUUCUAGGACAGCCAGGGCUACACAGAGAAACCCUGUUUCAAAAAAACCAAAAACACCCAGUGUUGGCCUUUUGAACCAUCUGUGUACCAGCAGACAAAUGCAUACCACACACAAGCAUACAUACUUACAACAUACAUAAACAUAGAGUGACAAAUUAAGUAACAUAAUCUGCAGGUGCAGUCUAUUGAUCCCCCAUUGCUGCCGGAGAGAACCUUACCUAGUCCAUAUUCUAUGGAGUCUGGGUGAUCCUCAUCACCGUCUUGGCUGACCUUCUGGAGAUGCUGCAGAUAGGCAUCAGUGUGGAAGCUGGCCAUCUCCUCCAUGGAGGCCACUUCGGGCUUCACUAUCCUAAUAAUAACAGAGCGAACAGAGGGGAGUGAGUCAGGCCCAGAUGCAAGGUGCUGGAAACAGCAGCCAACAGACUGAAGAGAAAAGACAAGUCCCAGCUUCUGGGUCCAGUGAAGUCAUAAACACACCAUGUCCUCCACUGCAUGGCCCAGUCUUCACUUCCUAUGAUACUGACCCCACUAAUAAGAGACAAGAAGACAACUUUGUCCUUUAGUUUUUAGGUAGGGAACAGAACUGAAAAAUUAUAUUUUACUCAAACAGAUGCUCAUGCAUCAAGGUCCCUGGUUUAGCCACACUCACUAACCCAGGGCCAGCAGGAUGGCUCAGUGGGUAAGGCACCUGCCAUCAAGACUGUCAACCUGAGUUUAAUCCCUGGGGCCCAUGUUGUGGAGGAGAGAACUGACUACCCCGGCAAGGUGCCCUCGACCUCCGUGUGUGCUCUGUGGCACGCACAUCCCCUAAUAUAUAUACUUUUUUAAAAAUUAAAAGACUCUGGAGCUGGAGGGAUGGCUCGGGGGUUAAGAGAACUUGCUGCUUUUGCAGAGAGAGGACUGGGGUUCAGUUCCCAACUCCACCUGGUGACUUACAACCAUGCAUAACUCCAGUUCCAGAUCUGACCCUCUCAUCUGACCUGCACAGGUAACAGGCACACAUGCACACACACACAUACAAGCAAAGCACUCAUACACACAAAAUAAGUAAUCAUAAAAGCCUAUUUUUAAAAGACUGAAAUAUCAACUUCGCUCUGUGAGUUACAUCUCAUCAACAAAGCAGCAAAGCCGUUUACAUUUGAGUGAGUUUCUGCUUGGACUAGGUAAUCCUUUCAGUCAGAUGUGUAGUCACUCGUGUUAGUUUCGGGGCCGAGCUUUGUCCCCCUCAUCCCUGUGUGUCUAUUUUAAUAGGCAGCUGGGUUAUCACACAGAAUUCUGAGCCCGAGAACUGGAUUCCUUCCCUCACUCUGUACUUACUGCUUCUGUUAACUUCAGGGGAAGGACAGAAGGACCAAAUGGCUAGAACCUCUCAAUCUGCUCCUCGCAGUGAGAAAAGGAGGAAAUGAGAGAAGGAAGGAAGCAAGUUACAUGGGAUUUGGGGCCUCGAACCUGCUGAGUCCUGUUGUCUCUUCUGGAUUCUGCUGCAGGGCAUAUGCUUCGAUCAGAGAGUGGACCAUACUGGCCUGAAAUGUCAGCAUAAAAGAAAAAAGGCAGAAGAGUCUCUUCAAGGUUCAAUUUACUGAAAUUCCAUUAACAACGUCCUGCGGGAAGAACUAACAACUGUAUCUCUUCUCCCUUCUUUCACUUUAAGAGUUGGGAUACACUUAAGACAAAACAGAUACAAAGUAUCAAAAUCGCCAAGACGGAAGCUUCCAGCCUUACUUAAGCGAUGAUGCUUCCAAUGCUAUGAAUUUCAAUAUCUGCCAGCAUGGUAAGGACAAGGAUGGCCUCAACCAGAAGUUGGCGGUACUCUGGCUGGGGUACACGAUUCAGGACAGACUCCACAUGGACAGAGAAUUUAAUCUCGCCUGGGGUCAUCUGUGAUAGAAAAAGAGAAAGUCACUUUCUAGAAUCCUGUCACCAAAGAACAUCAAACCUAUGAGCAAAGGGAUCAAGAUCAUGAUGGGGAAACCUAGAGAGACAGCUGGCCCGAGCUAGUGUGAGCUCACUGACUGAACUGAUGGCUGUGGAACCUGCAUGGGACUGACCUAGACCCUCUGCAUACAGGAGACAGUUAUAUAGCUGGGUGUGUUUGAGGGGCCCCUGGCAGUGGGAUCAGGAUCUUCCCUGGUGCAGGAACUGGCUUUCUGGAGCCCAUUCCCUAUGGUGGGACGCCUUGCUCAGCCUUGAUGCAGGGGUGGGGGAGGGGCUCGGUCCUGCCUCUACUGAAUGUACCAGGUUUGCUGAUUCCCCAUGGGAGAACUUACCCUCUUUGA